GGGAAUGUAGCUCAAGGCUAGAGCGUGUACUAAUGUAUAGUGUGUAGGUUGGAAUCCUACCAUUCCCU
RNAcentral lists this transfer RNA (68 nucleotides) under Fusobacterium mortiferum. RNAcentral describes it as "tRNA-Leu". It matches the Rfam family "tRNA". From Rfam's summary of the family: Transfer RNA (tRNA) molecules are approximately 80 nucleotides in length. The record is from RNAcentral. Lineage: Bacteria; Fusobacteriati; Fusobacteriota; Fusobacteriia; Fusobacteriales; Fusobacteriaceae.